Molecule: non-coding RNA, 192 nt
Filed under: Kurthia populi
Lineage: Bacteria; Bacillati; Bacillota; Bacilli; Caryophanales; Caryophanaceae
Also listed under: 1 other name
Description: 6S RNA
Rfam family: 6S / SsrS RNA
About the family: E. coli 6S RNA was the first non coding RNA to be sequenced, but its function was unknown until recently.
Source: RNAcentral
UACAGGCUGCAUUGUACGUAAUAAUAUUAAGUUUUAACCUUUGAUCUGUAAUAGGGAGUUUAAGAUAGAGAGCGGACUGGUAUGCCUAGCGGAAUCGUUAGGACGAACAUGAAACUCUUUGCAAACACCCACUUUGAGGAGUGGUGGUUUAAAACUUUCAAUGUAAUGACUUACGGCAAAAGCGGCUUCUUA